RNAcentral lists this ribosomal RNA (406 nucleotides) under uncultured bacterium. Its description in RNAcentral is "partial 16S ribosomal RNA". It matches the Rfam family "Bacterial small subunit ribosomal RNA", at positions 30 to 526 of the family's 1533-position model. The record is from RNAcentral.
AUUGAACGCUGGCGGCAGGCCUAACACAUGCAAGUCGAACGAGUGGCGGACGGGUGAGUAAUGACGGGGAAACUGCCUGAUGGAGGGGGAUAACUACUGGAAACGGUAGCUAAUACCGCAUACCAUCGGAUGUGCCCAGAUGGGAUUAGCUAGUAGGGGGGGUAAAGGCUCACCUAGGCGACGAGCCCUAGCUGGUCUGAGAGGAUGACCAGCCACACUGGAACUGAGACACGGUCCAGACUCCGACGUGAGGCAGCAGUGGGGAAUAAUGCACAAUGGGCGCAAGCCUGAUACAGCCAUGCCGCGUGUAUGAAGAAGGCCUUCGGGUUGUAAAGUACUUUCAUCAGGGAGGCGUUACCCGCAGAAGAAGCACCGGCUAACUCCGUGCCAGCAGCCGCGGUAAUUC